Schistosoma rodhaini is the source of this 45-nucleotide non-coding RNA. Lineage: Eukaryota; Metazoa; Platyhelminthes; Trematoda; Strigeidida; Schistosomatidae. The record is from Rfam.
AUCCAGCUAACGAGUCCCAAAUAGAACGAAACGCGCAGCCUGGAU